Non-coding RNA from Triticum aestivum (bread wheat), 134 nucleotides. NCBI's taxonomy places the organism in Eukaryota, Viridiplantae, Streptophyta, Magnoliopsida, Poales, Poaceae. The record is from Rfam.
AAAGUACUCCCUCCGUCCGAAAAUACUUGUCAUCAAAAUGGAUAAAAAGGAUAUAUCUAGAACUAAAAUACGUCUAGAUACAUCCCCUUUUCUUCAUUUUGAUGACAAAUAUUUCUGGGUGGAGGGAGUAUGAC